CCCCUCAGUUCCGUCACAGACAGGAAGUGACGUCGGUGUAGAAGAUGGUUGUCUGUAAAUCCUGUGCACUGCUGCGGCUCGCUAGCCGUUUAAUUUAACGCAGUGUGUGGGCUCCUUCCAGUCCGGCGGAUGGACCCCCGUGGAGACAUGGCAGUGCACCGCUGCCGCCCGCUCUCCUGAACGCGGAAUCGAACCCGCAACUUCAUGUCUGACGGAGCCAGAGCUGCCUGGUCGAAGAGGGGUUGUGGGGAUUCGCACCGCCGAGAACCGGGGAAACAUAAACACAGGAAAUGCGAGCGGCCCUUUAGCGCUCAGACGUCGCAGCCUGUGAUCGUUCGCCCSGGCUCCAAAAGGUGUGUUAUGUCAGGGGCGGACGUGGAGGUGUACCUGUCGCAGGUGCACGACGGCAGCGUGUCGUCGGGCUUCCGAGCGCUGUACGAGGAGCGCCUGCUGCUGGACGUCACGCUGCUGAUAGAGGAGCACCACUUCCAGGCCCACAAGGCGCUCCUGGCCACGCAGAGCGACUACUUCCGGGUCAUGUUCACGGCAGACAUGAGGGAGCGGGACCAGGACAAGAUCCACAUGAAGGGUCUGACGGCGGCGGGCUUCGGUCACAUCCUGCGCUUCAUGUACUACGGCUCCCUGGAGCUCAGCAUGCCCACGGUGCAGGAGAUCCUGCAGGCAGCCAUGUACGUGCAGCUGACGGAGGCGGUGGAGUUCUGCUGCUCCUUCCUGCUGGCUAAGAUCUGCCUGGAGAACUGCGCCGAGGUCAUGAGGCUCCUGGAGGACUUCAGCGUGGGCGUGGAGGGCGUCCAGGAGCAGCUGGACAACUUCCUGCUGGAGAACUUUGUUCCUCUGAUGAGCCGAGCCGACUUCCUGUCCUACCUCAGCCUCGAGAGACUCCAGGCGUACCUGAACAGCGACGCUCUGAGUCGUUUCCCGGAGAUCGAGCUGUACGAAGCCGUGCAGGCGUGGCUGAGACACGACCGGCGGCGCUGGCGGCACACAGACACCAUCGUUCAGUCCGUCCGUUUCUGCCUCAUGACGCCUGCAGACAUCUUUGAGAAGGUGAAGACCUCAGAGUUCUACCGUUACUCCCGGCAGCUGAGGCAGGAAGUGGACCAGGCUCUCAGCUACUUCCACGACGUCAACCAGCAGCCUCUGGUGGAGACCAGGUCCAAUCGGAUCCGCUCGGUCCGGCCGCAGACCGCCGUGUUCAGGGGGAUGAUCGGCCACAGCAUGGUGAACAGCAAGAUCCUGCUGCUGCAGCGGCCCAAGGUGUGGUGGGAGCUGGAGGGUCCUCAGGUGCCUCUCAGACCGGACUGCCUGGCCAUCGUUAAUAACUUUGCCUUCCUGCUGGGCGGAGAGGAGCUGGGUCCUGACGGGGAGUUCCACGCCUCCUCUAAGGUCUACCGCUACGACCCGCGGCAGAACUCGUGGCUGCGCAUGGCGGACAUGUCUGUGCCCAGGUCAGAGUUUGCCGUUGGCGUCAUCGGGAAGUUCAUCUACGCGGUGGCGGGCCGCACGCGGGAUGAGACCUUCUACUCCACGGAGCGCUACGACAUCACCGAGGACCGCUGGGAGUUUGUGGACCCGUAUCCUGUCAACAAGUACGGCCACGAAGGAACGGUCCUGAACGGGAAGCUCUACAUCACGGGGGGCAUCACCUCCUCCUCCACCUCCAAGCAGGUGUGUGUGUUCGACCCGGGCCGGGAGGCAGGCGGCGGGGGAGGAGGAGGAGGAGGCGGCGGCGGGUCGGGCGGGUCGGACUCCCACAGGACGCAGCGCGCCGCCGGCCGCGGCCCGCUGCUGCCCGGCACCCACGCCAGCUGCUGGGAGAACAAAUCCAAAAUGAACUACGCUCGCUGCUUCCACAAGAUGAUCUCCCACAACGGGAAGCUGUACGUGUUCGGAGGCGUGUGCGUCAUCCUGCGCGCCUCCUUCGAGUCGCAGGGCUGCCCGUCCACCGAGGUCUACGACCCGGAGACGGACGAGUGGACCAUCCUGGCCUCCAUGCCCAUCGGGCGCAGCGGGCACGGCGUGGCGGUGCUGGACAGGCAGAUCAUGGUGCUGGGCGGCCUGUGCUACAACGGCCACUACAGUGACUCCAUCCUCACCUUCGACCCCGACGACAACAAGUGGAAGGAGGACGAGUAUCCCAGGAUGCCUUGCAAACUGGACGGUCUGCAGGUGUGCAGCUUGCACUUCCCAGAGUACGUGCUGGAGCACGUCAGACGCUGCAGCUGAGGUCCGCUUCACGUCACGCCUCCUUUUUUUAGAAACUGGACUGUUAAAGGACCGAGCGGCCCCGCUCAGGGGGGUUCAGGUGUUCCAGGCUUUUAAACCAGAGACCAGCACUUACCUGAAGGACAGGACAGAAUUUGUAUCGUCGCAGCGCAGAGAGGUCCUGGCUUCACUGCAGAAACGCACUGGAAGCUUCAGCUUCAGCUGUUAACUCGACCGGUCCCACAGCUCCAACAACAUGUAGGUUUCUCUCUUAUUGAUUAAAGACAAGUUGGUGAAAUAUAAGAUGAUCCCUGCAGAAUAUAUAAAUAAAAUAUAAAACUGUAGUUUAGUUGAUAUAAAUAAAGUGUAGGAAACAUCAGCAGCUUCACUCAUCACAUCCAGAUUUUGCUUCCAGUGCGUUCCAGCUCUGCUUCCAGAAAUCCACCAGACUCUCGCGUCUUCUCAUCUGUCUCCGUCCGGUUAACGUGUUCGUGAGGAGAACCCCACCCGACAUGUUUUAAUUCUUCAUUUCCUAACCCCCAGGUCAGCAGAGAGGCCGUCUCAGAGCAGCUUUACUCGUCCACGUUCCCUGCACUUUAUCGGUUCUUGUUGUGACUGUAAAUAGUUUAGCUCGUUUAGAAGCUGAAGUUUUUGUUUUUGCUACAUGCUGUACUGUUGAUGUUGAGCAGUGUCUGAAAUGAACAUGUUCCCUGAAAUCAACCAAGGCAACUCUGGACCGUUUUCUUCUGUUAGCGUCACUCAGAUGAUCAGGUUUCAACAGUAGCUAAAGACGGACUGAACCAGAGAAAACACCAGCAGCGAGAGGAAAAAUCACCUUUUUCUGACUAAUUUAGACUCAACUCAAAUAUUUAAAAAUAAUAAAUGAACAUUUCUACAGAAUUUACUGUAAUACAUUAAUAUUUAAAUAUAUUCUGGUAGUAGUAUCACCAAAUACAAUGAGGCAAGUAUUCAAGAUGGCACCUGCUUAGAUAUGCUACSCUAGUUAACGUUAGCAUGAAAUUACCACUUUGUUACUGCGAUAAAUUUAUCUGCUGCCUCGUUAGUUCAUAUAAAAUAACAAACCAAAGAAGUAAAAUGUUUUAACGUUUUUCUAAACUGAUUGUUUGAUUCUAUAAAUCUAUCAAAACCGAAUAAAAUUAGACUUAGCCAUGGCUAGCAGCUAGCUUUUACUUGAUAUUGCUAACAGGUUUUAGCUGUGAAUUAGUCAUGAAAGAACACAUCUACCAAUAAAUUGAUUUAUUAAAUAUAAAUGUUAAAAUUAUUGUGAAACCAAGUUUUUAAAGUUAAAAAGAUGACAAUGCUAAAAGCAGAGUUAGCUAGUGUUAGCUGGCAAUUAGCACUGUUUAAAUGUUCUAAACCUUUUAAAACUACUUUUUAUUUAAGUUUGUGACAAUAUAAUUUUACUUUUGUUCAAUUAAUAUUUUUUUAUUAACAGAAAACAAACGUGAAUAUAGCACCUGCUAAUGUGUGCUAAACAAGCUAAUGUUAGCUUCUUUUGUUAACAUUACAAGCUAACAUUUUUCUGCCUCGUUAAUUCGUACUGAAUGACAACAAAAGUUUAGCUUUUGUAAGUUAGACGUUUUUUCUUCAUCUAAGUGUUUAAACAGAUUUUUGAUUGAAUGUAGUGAA
Austrofundulus limnaeus is the source of this 3876-nucleotide RNA transcript. It is a transcript of the gene named kelch-like family member 15, with no coding region annotated. The transcript has 10 exons. The record is from RefSeq and is a predicted model, not a curated record. Lineage: Eukaryota; Metazoa; Chordata; Actinopteri; Cyprinodontiformes; Rivulidae.